Molecule: long non-coding RNA, 1215 nt
Filed under: Coffea arabica (coffee)
Lineage: Eukaryota; Viridiplantae; Streptophyta; Magnoliopsida; Gentianales; Rubiaceae
Description: long non-coding RNA (CARA_LNC000319)
Source: RNAcentral
UUUUUUUUUUUUUUUUUUUGCCUCCUUCGCGUCGAGGCUCAGCAAAAGACAAAUGAUGUUAAGGUACGCCCCACCGUCACCGCCGGCAUGCACAUCAGCACAUGCAGGAAGACAGCAGGUUUACUUUAUGGCAAGCGAUGCGUGUCCGGGGUAAGCCAAGCAGGGGCGGCUGGACUGAAUCAUUGGAGGAUUGUAUAGGCAAUUGUUUAGAGGUUGGCGUGAGAUUUUAAAAAGAGGGCCGCAUGCUGAUGUUGCCAAAUAUCUAGACCUAAUUCUUUUGCAUUAUUCGUCAGUUACUAAUCUAAUCCUACUUAUAAACAACAGGAUUCAUUACUAGGCCGAUAAUUGACUUCUAAAACUCCCAUGGUUGGAAAAGAGAAAUAGUAGUGUGGUGUAGUGUAGUCCCGUGGCCUAAUAAUUGCACGUGAAUCUCAAUACUUCCAACCCAUAGUUUAGCCUGAUUUGAGUGGCAGUGGUCCAAACUACAAUGCCACUUGCCUAAAUGAUGCAAUCCAUGGACUGUAAGCAUCAAAGAGAAUUGCCAAAAAACAAGGGGUCGGGGUGUUGGGGGAAAAGGUACGAGGAUGUGGCGCACGUACCAGUCAGGCCACCAUGAACUCAUUUCCAUACUCAACAACUGCGGAGCAUUUCAGUUGCGAGAAAAGCAGAAAACAUGAUUGCUAAUACAGAAAACCAACAACCCAUUUAAGUCUAUGAAUUCCAAUUUCUUUCUGCCGGUUGAUAUAGACAUGCUCCAGUAAUUGUUUACCUCCGGCUUCAUGAUUCAUGACAGUGAUUUGAUAACUUGGAUCUCCUGUAUCACUACUUAAUGCUUCGCCUCAGAAAUCUAGCCACUACUUCUUUAUGCCUAGAAGCCUGGAACUCCAACACCAUUAUCCACAGGCAAUUGAGGCUGAGAAACAGUAGUGUAGUGCUUAUGAACAAUCAUUACGUCAUCCAUAUGCACCAAGUGUAAAAACCAGAAAGCAAUCGCACGAAAGAUGCAUUAUCUAAAGUUGGAGAACCCCACUUUUUGGAGUACAAAAUACAUCUUCAGUAGACAUUCUUCAAAUGCCCAAGUAAUAAUAAGCCCAUUUGUUUUUCUUCUUAUUCCUACGGAUGAAGUCAAAAAGCUUAAGCAGAAGCCGAGUCUCCAAUCAAUUCUAGUAUCCCCAGUAGUCGUUGCGGAUUUCAUCAUCAAACUUCUUCCUGAGU